GGGCCCUUAGCUCAGUUGGUUAGAGUAGAUGACUCAUAAUCAUUUGGUCCGGGGUUCGAGCCCCCGAGGGCCCACUA
This 77-nucleotide transfer RNA is filed under the name Owenweeksia hongkongensis DSM 17368. RNAcentral's name for it is "tRNA-Met". It matches the Rfam family "tRNA". From Rfam's summary of the family: Transfer RNA (tRNA) molecules are approximately 80 nucleotides in length. Their secondary structure includes four short double-helical elements and three loops (D, anti-codon, and T loops). Further hydrogen bonds mediate the characteristic L-shaped molecular structure. tRNAs have two regions of fundamental functional importance: the anti-codon, which is responsible for specific mRNA codon recognition, and the 3' end, to which the tRNAs corresponding amino acid is attached (by aminoacyl-tRNA synthetases). tRNAs cope with the degeneracy of the genetic code in two manners: having more than one tRNA (with a specific anti-codon) for a particular amino acid; and 'wobble' base-pairing, i.e. permitting non-standard base-pairing at the 3rd anti-codon position. The record is from RNAcentral. Lineage: Bacteria; Pseudomonadati; Bacteroidota; Flavobacteriia; Flavobacteriales; Owenweeksiaceae.